GACGAACGCUGGCGGCGUGCUUAACACAUGCAAGUCGAGCGGAAAGGCCCUUUCGGGGGUACUCGAGCGGCGAACGGGUGAGUAACACGUGAGUAAUCUGCCCUUCACUUGGGGAUAACCUCCGGAAACGGUGGCUAAUACCCGAUACGACCAUUCCUCGCAUGAGGUGGGGGUGGAAAGUUUUUCGGUGGGGGAUGUGCUCGCGGCCUAUCAGCUUGUUGGUGGGGUAAUGGCCUACCAAGGCUUCGACGGGUAGCCGGCCUGAGAGGGUGACCGGCCACACUGGGACUGGGCCACGGCCCAGACUCCUACGGGAGGCAGCAGUGCGGAAUAUUGGACAAUGGGCGGAAGCCUGAUCCAGCAACGCCGCGUGAGGGAUGACGGCCUUCGGGUUGUAAACCUCUUUCACCUGUGACGAAGCGAAAGUGACGGUAGCAGGAGAAGAAGCACCGGCCAACUACGUG
RNAcentral lists this ribosomal RNA (464 nucleotides) under uncultured bacterium. Its description in RNAcentral is "partial 16S ribosomal RNA". It matches the Rfam family "Bacterial small subunit ribosomal RNA", at positions 28 to 507 of the family's 1533-position model. The record is from RNAcentral.